AAGGCCUCUAGGUUGCAGAGAUCUGGCAGCAAAGUAUGAUAUUCAAAAGUUAAAACACAAGUUAAAAAAAGAAAGUUUCAGACAACCAUCAUUGUAUAGGAAAGGGUAAAUAAUUAAAUAAUGCCUGAGAUAUGGUCUACACACUUCUGUCCUUGCUAUUUCAAAUAUUAUUUUGGCCCCCAAAGUUUGUUAAUGGCUCUACACUUUAGUCUUGAUGUAUAAGACUGAGAAAUUUUUAUGUAAAUCUAGUUUCUCACAUUUUAAAUUAUAUCACAUUUUAGUCAUUAAAAUUUUAAAUUUUAGAUGCAUUUUAAUCUUUGAAUUUUUAUUUUAUAGACACUUCAGUCCCUCACUUUCGCUGGCAAUAGUAGUAGAAG
This 377-nucleotide unclassified non-coding RNA is filed under the name Hevea brasiliensis (rubber tree). Lineage: Eukaryota; Viridiplantae; Streptophyta; Magnoliopsida; Malpighiales; Euphorbiaceae. The record is from RNAcentral.